UAAUGUGUUCCUUACAUCACCAGCUGAGAACAUCUUUUUGGGACUAUCAGCCAAGAAGAUUAAGGAAACUAAUACCAUUUGUCUGUUUCGGAUGCUAACAUCGAUUAGAGGAGAAAUGGAGACUGUGCUGCAGAACUAUUGGUCCAAGGUGAGAUCUGGUAGGUUUGAAGAAGCUGGAGCAAGCUGAAGAAGUUGAAAAUUGCCAAUUCUCAGCUAUUUACCUCCAGACAAGUGUGAGAGACAAGAAAGCAAAGCAGGUCAUUGCAAACACUGCUCUUCCUGAAUUAUGUUGAGGCUAUUGUCAAAAAUAAACACCACGUUCCUAAAUGUGAAUACAUCCUGGGGAGAGCAAAGUCCUUUUAGUUAUGCCUUAGAAGGAUCUAGAGUCAAAGCCAGAUGGUUCCUAGAAGCAAGCAAAUAAAUCUACCUGGCCUGCACAAGCCCAGUACGCAAGAUACUUUGUAAAAAGAAUGGAAAAUUCUUCUAAAAAGAAUGGAAAAUAAAAGAUGAGGUAAUAA
This 518-nucleotide long non-coding RNA is filed under the name Zonotrichia albicollis (white-throated sparrow). RNAcentral describes it as "lncRNA (ENSZALG00000013276.1)". The record is from RNAcentral. Lineage: Eukaryota; Metazoa; Chordata; Aves; Passeriformes; Passerellidae.